Molecule: long non-coding RNA, 1396 nt
Organism: Cyprinodon tularosa
Lineage: Eukaryota; Metazoa; Chordata; Actinopteri; Cyprinodontiformes; Cyprinodontidae
Exons: 4
Source: RefSeq, a predicted model, not a curated record
UCUGAUCUCUUUGAUCAAAGGUCAAAUAGGAGAAUCACCUUUAGACUGUUGGAAAGAUCUAGGAUUAAAUAUCUAUGACUUCCUUUUAGGACCAUAGUGAACAGGAUCAGUUCACUGAACAAAGCCUGAUCCAGUCCACUCUGUCCAAGUCAUCCUAUCAGGACGGACCUGGUUCUGGUCCAAGUGACAGUCUGAUCCCACCUGCUUCUCAGUCUGCUUACCUGAACUUCACUGGACCUGGAACUCUGACUGGGAUUCCGGUACCAGAUCAGGAGGAACUGGUUCUGACUCCAUUUGGUGGCAGAACAGAGAAAAGAUUCUGGAUCACGGUGAGGGAAUUUACCUGGAAGAUUUAAGGCCAAACAAGAAAACCAGACAACCAUCUCUUUUAAGAUUCUUGUCCAAUCCAACAGAAGGUGGACCUGGCACAACUACAGAAAAUGACCACAGCGUUGACCAGUAUGAACGUUCAGAUAUUGGAGACACACAGAUAAAAGAUGAACAACAACUGAAGAGCCGGCGCUCAACCAAGCGGAUUUGACCCAAACAACUUACGACAUAGAUAUAUCAAAGGCCAAGGACCUGAUUAGUGAAAUGGACGACUCUGGAAAAUUCCAACUUCUUCAGACCAGAAAACCCAAAUCUUUCAAUUUCCCUGCCAGAGAAUUUAAAUACAACCGAAGAGCCAGUGGGGUGACCAAAAGAACAUGCCAGAGGGACUGGCUGGACAAGUAUGAGUUUUUAUCAUUUUUACAUCAUAUAAAGAUGAUCUACUGUCAGGAUCAACAUUCAGGCAGGAAGUGAAGUUGUGGCACACAAAGUGGUCAUCAUCAGUGGAAAAACCCAGCUCUCUCCCUGAAAUUCUAAAGAUAACAAACAUGAAGUGCUACCCAAACAUUUAUAUGAUUCGUCACCUUCUGUCAGUCAUACCUGUUACCAGUGCUUCUGUGGAAAGCGCUAACUCGGGACUUAAAGCAGUGAAAACUUUGCUGAGGUCAACAAUGGGACAGGAAAGGUUUGUGGCUUUGCUACUUUUGUAUUUGCACAAGGACAUUUAGUUAGACAUCAACAAAAUCAUAGACAUAUUUGCCCAGAAGGUUGACAUUUGUAAACCCAUUAUCAUCAUCAUAAAGUUUGUAGUAGAGAACAAUAUUCUUUGUCUGGUUUAACUUUUUUUUUUUUUUUUUUUUUUCAACAGUUUAUCUUGUUAAAAUAUAUUCAAAACUCCUUUGUCUUACUUAAACCCAAGUCUUUGGGUUUUUUUAUUUCAUGUUCUGUGUAAAUAUCAUUUCUGGAAAUAAAGAAACUCCUUGUUUGAUUAAUUGUUGAUAAGGAUCAUUUUUUCUCUUCAAACUACCUUUUAACCUUGUGCAUGCUUUAAAAACCGAGAGAUCCU